RNAcentral lists this ribosomal RNA (497 nucleotides) under uncultured bacterium. RNAcentral describes it as "partial 16S ribosomal RNA". It matches the Rfam family "Bacterial small subunit ribosomal RNA", at positions 28 to 507 of the family's 1533-position model. The record is from RNAcentral.
GAUGAACGCUGGCGGCGUGCCUAAUACAUGCAAGUCGAGCGAACGGACGAGAAGCUUGCUUCUCUGAUGUUAGCGGCGGACGGGUGAGUAACACGUGGAUAACAUACCUAUAAGACUGGGAUAAUUUCGGGAAACCGUAGCUAAUACCGGAUAAUAUUUUGAACCGCAGGGUUCAAAAGUGAAAGACGGCCUUGCUGUCACUUAUAGAUGGAUCCGCGCUGCAUUAGCUAGUUGGUAAGGUAACGGCUUACCAAGGCAACGAUGCAUAGCCGACCUGAGAGGAUGAUCGGCCACACUGGAACUGAGACACGGUCCAGACUCCUACGGGAGGCAGCAGUGGGGAAUAUUACGCAAUGGGCGAAAGCCUGACGGAGCAACGCCGCGUGGGUGAAGAAGGUCUUCGGAUCGUAAAACUCUGUUAUUAGGGAAGAACAUAUGUAUAAGAAACUGUACACAUCUUGACGGUACCUAAUCAGAAAGCCACGGCUAACUACGUG